CAAACUUAUCUCACCUCCUAACUUUAACUCAAUCCUUAUUUUUUCAAUACCCUCUACUAGUUCACUAUAACUUGCAUACUUAUUGCGAAUGGAAAAUCAUGAAGCAAUACCCUCUACAGGUUCACUUAAUAAAUCUUCUCAUGAAAAUAGCGAUUCUGGAUUCGUGCACCAUUUGUCACUACCUCCAUCUCCUUUACGCUAUCUUAAUCACAUUGAGAAGAGGCUAUGGGAUGCCGAGCAAAAAAUAUCGCUAGCCGAUGAACAGAAAAAGCUUUUGGUAUCACAAGUUUCUUAUUACAAAACAAAAAUCUCAGAUCUACAGCAUGAUUUAAAAAUCCGUCGACAAAUAUCUUCCAGGGAUGUGAAUGACGUUGAUAGACUAAAAAGGGCCUUGGCACAUAUGAAGCACGAAGCAUGUACUCAAUACAAAAGAAACCUUGAAAUGAUGAUUGGUGGUGACAGUGGAUCUGAAAAAACAGCAGGUCCCUAGACAACUCUAAUUUACUAUGAUGAGGUGUUACUGAUGUUAAAUUAUGUAGUGUGAACAAUGUUUGAUUUAAGUAGUUACUACCAUAUUCAUGUUUUGAAUGUAUUAUUUUCGUAUUUCUAUGUCUAAUGUAUUUUGAGUUGUCAUCUAUUUUAAUAUACAUUAACAACUAUUUCUUAAUAUUUAUUUGCCUUUGAAAAAAACCUUACAAAUAAUAAUAAAAAAAUUAAAAAGCAUCUAGUUAACUGUAUAAAAUAAUAUACCACAUAAUGUCAAAAGGACACUUAUAUAAUAAUAUAUUUUUAAAACACAUUUGGUAUAGUGAUAUGUCUUAUAUAAAUACCCCUAAAUAGAGAAUGCUUAGAAUACCACUUACUAUUAUAUUGCACUUGCAUAUAAAAACUCUUUAAGUUAACUAUGUCUUCCUCUCUUGUGACUUCUAUCAAUACUCGUCCAAAGUGCCAUUGUGGCACAGAUUCGGUGUGCCGAACUUCAAGGAGUGAAGAGAACCCUGGUAGAAGAUUUUGGGGGUGUGGAAACUAUGAUCGAGAUUCUUGUAAGGUAUGUCAUUUUUUCGAGUGGGUGGAUCCAGAUGUUCUGGUUGGAGCUAAUGUAGUAUUGCAGAGGUUGGAAAGAAAAAUUGAGGACCAAAGUAAAGAGAUCAAGUUACUUAAGAAAUUUGUGUUAUUCCUAAUUUGUGUUGAACUAAUAAAAUUAUUGUUGUAUUGAAAAUGUAUAACUAAUCCAUGAUAUGAGUGUUUUUCUUAUUAAACUUAUGUAAUCAGUAGUUUGAGUUAAUAUGUUGUAAUGUAUAAUUAAUAUCAUGGAUUCUUAUUAUAA
This is a long non-coding RNA of Cannabis sativa, 1327 nucleotides long. RefSeq lists it as uncharacterized. The record is from RefSeq and is a predicted model, not a curated record. The transcript has 2 exons. Lineage: Eukaryota; Viridiplantae; Streptophyta; Magnoliopsida; Rosales; Cannabaceae.